UACAGAGGGUGCAAGCGUUGUUCGGAAUCAUUGGGCGUAAAGGGCAGGUAGGUGGUUUAGUAAGUCGACUGUGAAAUCCCUGGGCUCAACCCAGGAACUGCGGUUGAUACUACUGAACUAGAGUGCUAGAGGGGUUCGUGGAAUACUCGGUGUAGCGGUGAAAUGCGUAGAUAUCGAGUGGAAUAUCAGAGGCGAAGGCGACGAACUGGAUAGUAACUGACACUCAACUGCGAAAGCGUGGGUAGCGAACAGG
RNAcentral lists this ribosomal RNA (253 nucleotides) under uncultured bacterium. Its description in RNAcentral is "partial 16S ribosomal RNA". It matches the Rfam family "Bacterial small subunit ribosomal RNA", at positions 524 to 776 of the family's 1533-position model. The record is from RNAcentral.